CUGGGGCUCCUGGGGAAGGUGGAGCAGGGGCGGAGCUGAGGAAGGUCGUUAUGGGGACAGGUCACUUUGGGGAGGUGGGGUAGGGCCAGGGGUGGGAGGCCCUGAUGUGAGGAGUCUGUAUUAUUACAUGGAAGGUUCCAGAGUCACACUAGAUGGGUGCAAAGUGGCUCUGGUUACCUCUGGGAACGGCUGGCUGUCUUACACCAUCUGUCCCCAGGCCGUGAGGUGAGCCCAGCACAUCAGUACGCCCUGGCUGGUGGUGUCUCUUUCCCUUUCUUCUGGCUGGCCGGUGCUGGCUCCGCUGUCUUCUGGGUCCUGGGAGCCACCCUGGUACUUAUAGGCUCUCACGCUGCCUUCCACCAGAUAGAGCCUGCAGAUGGUGAGGAACUGCAGAUGGAACCUGUGUAAAGUGUCCUCCAGGACCUGCCAGCCUCUCCUGCCGGCCUCUCCUGCCGGCUGGCUGUCCCCUCUCUGUCUGUUCUUGCCCUACCUGACCUAGACACUCAGCUCAACUCAGAGCCUAACUCUGAGCCUUCCACCCUAGACCUCAAACCCGGGGAGAGGCUUUUGUCUUCGGAAAUAAAACUGUUACAAUUGC
RNAcentral lists this long non-coding RNA (598 nucleotides) under Rattus norvegicus (Norway rat). RNAcentral's name for it is "long non-coding RNA NONRATT002387". The record is from RNAcentral. Lineage: Eukaryota; Metazoa; Chordata; Mammalia; Rodentia; Muridae.